RNAcentral lists this ribosomal RNA (253 nucleotides) under uncultured bacterium. Its description in RNAcentral is "partial 16S ribosomal RNA". It matches the Rfam family "Bacterial small subunit ribosomal RNA", at positions 524 to 776 of the family's 1533-position model. The record is from RNAcentral.
UACGUAGGGGGCAAGCGUUGUCCGGAAUCAUUGGGCGUAAAGAGCGUGUAGGCGGCCCGGUAAGUCCGCUGUGAAAGUCGGGGGCUCAACCCUCGAAUGCCGGUGGAUACUGUCGGGCUAGAGUGCGGGAGAGGCGAGUGGAAUUCCUGGUGUAGCGGUGAAAUGCGCAGAUAUCAGGAGGAACACCGAUUGCGAAGGCAGCUCGCUGGAACGUAACUGACGCUGAGACGCGAAAGCGUGGGGAGCAAACGGG